UUUUAAAACGAUUUAUAUUAUACUCAGACGGCACAGUUAUCAAGAAUUUAAAAAGGCUACCGGCGGGCACAGGCCAGGGGCGGGAAAGCCACCGGCGGCCCCAAAGGGCGGGCCCGCCAAAGCAACAUGGUUUGUUAAACAUAGGGUUGGAGAUCGGGCCUGGAAGACCCUAACUCGGUAAUGAUCCUUCCGCAGGUUCACCUACGGAAA
RNAcentral lists this unclassified non-coding RNA (210 nucleotides) under uncultured fungus. RNAcentral's name for it is "sequence contains ITS1". The record is from RNAcentral. Lineage: Eukaryota; Fungi.